RNAcentral lists this ribosomal RNA (439 nucleotides) under uncultured bacterium. Its description in RNAcentral is "partial 16S ribosomal RNA". It matches the Rfam family "Bacterial small subunit ribosomal RNA", at positions 339 to 795 of the family's 1533-position model. The record is from RNAcentral.
CUACGGGUUGCUCCAGUGGGGAAUAUUGCACAAUGGGGGAAACCCUGAUGCAGCAACGCCGCGUGGAGGAUGACGCAUUUCGGUGUGUAAACUCCUUUUAUAUAGGAAGAUAAUGACGGUACUAUAUGAAUAAGCACCGGCUAACUCCGUGCCAGCAGCCGCGGUAAUACGGAGGGUGCAAGCGUUACUCGGAAUCACUGGGCGUAAAGCGCGCGCAGGCGGCCCCUUAAGUUGGAUGUGAAAGCCUACGGCUUAACCGUAGAACUGCACCCAAAACUGAGGGGCGUGAGUCUGGGAGGGGAAGAUGGAAUUAGUUGUGUAGGGGUAAAAUCCGUAGAGAUAACUAGGAAUACCAAAAGCGAAGGCGAUCUUCUGGAACAGUACUGACGCUGAGGCGCGAAAGCGUGGGGAGCAAACAGGAUUAGAUACCCUAGUAGUC